This 357-nucleotide long non-coding RNA is filed under the name Danio rerio (zebrafish). Its description in RNAcentral is "lncRNA (ENSDARG00000117727.1)". Lineage: Eukaryota; Metazoa; Chordata; Actinopteri; Cypriniformes; Danionidae. The record is from RNAcentral.
GACAGAAUUAUCUUCUGUUUGCAUCAUUUUUCUUUUAAGCAUGUCUCUUCUUUUUCUUUUCAGGCUAUCGGGUUCAUCCAGCACAUAAAACUCAUCACCGAAAAUGAAUAGAAGCGGUUGGAGAAGAGACUGGAGAUGUGAACUGUCCCUCUGGAACGAGCUGCCAUUAAGUUUACUAAAAAUGUCUGAUGGUUUCGCCCAGACAGUUAGGAAAGCUGUGUCUGAACGGGAUCCAAAUCUCUGAUGCCAUGAACCCCUCCUAAAUAGGAUAAUCCUGAUGAAAUGGGUCCGCAGACCCAGUUUGAAAUGUGUCAACAACAACAAAAUAUGAUCAAUAUGGUAAGUUCAUAAUUUUAA